AGCGAACGCUGGCGGCGUGCCUAACACAUGCAAGUCGAACGUGAAAGGGAGCAAUCCCAAGUAAAGUGGCGUACGGGUGAGUAACACGUAGGUAAUCUACCCCAGAAUCUGGAAUAACCGGCCGAAAGGCUGGCUAAUACUGGAUAGAGCGACGGAAUCCGUAAUUGGGUUUUUCGGGAAAGGGAGCCUGUAAAAAGGCCUUCGUUCUGGGAUGAGCCUGCGUCCCAUCAGCUAGUUGGUGAGGUAAAAGCUUACCAAGGCAAUGACGGGUAGCUGGUCUGAGAGGACGAUCAGCCACACUGGGACUGAAACACGGUCCAGACUCCUACGGGAGGCAGCAGUGGGGAAUCUUGCGCAAUGGACGAAAGUCUGACGCAGCAACGCCGCGUGAGUGAAGAAGGCCUUCGGGUUGUAAAGCUCUGUCGAGUGGGACGAAAAUGCUUGGAGUUCACAGCUCCAGGAACUGACGGUACCACUAAAGGAAGCACCGGCUAACUCCGUG
This 502-nucleotide ribosomal RNA is filed under the name uncultured bacterium. RNAcentral describes it as "partial 16S ribosomal RNA". It matches the Rfam family "Bacterial small subunit ribosomal RNA", at positions 29 to 507 of the family's 1533-position model. The record is from RNAcentral.